AACGAACGCUGGCGGCAGGCCUAACACAUGCAAGUCGAGCGAGCAGUUCGGUGCUAGCGGCGGACGGGGGAGUAACGCGUGGGAAGUUGCCCUUUUCUGCGGAAUAGUCCUGGGAAACAGGGGGUAAUACCGCAUACGCCCUUUUGGGGAAAGAUUUAUCGGUGUAGGAUCGGCCCGGGUUGGAUUAGGUAGUUGGGGGGGGAAUGGCCCACCAAGCCGACGAUCCAUAGCUGGUUGGAGAGGAUGAUCAGCCACACUGGGACUGAGACACGGCCCAGACUCCUACGGGAAGCAGCAGUGGGGAAUCUUAGACAAUGGGGGCAACCCUGAUCUAGCCAUGCCGCGUGAGUGAUGAAGGCCUUAGGGUUGUAAAGCUCUUUCAGCUGGGAAGAUAAUGACGGUACCAGCAGAAGAAGCCCCGGCUAACUCCGUG
Molecule: ribosomal RNA, 433 nt
Filed under: uncultured bacterium
Lineage: Bacteria
Description: partial 16S ribosomal RNA
Rfam family: Bacterial small subunit ribosomal RNA
Source: RNAcentral